This 436-nucleotide ribosomal RNA is filed under the name gamma proteobacterium SCGC AAA031-B09. RNAcentral describes it as "bacterial SSU rRNA". It matches the Rfam family "Bacterial small subunit ribosomal RNA", at positions 359 to 787 of the family's 1533-position model. The record is from RNAcentral. Lineage: Bacteria; Pseudomonadati; Pseudomonadota; Gammaproteobacteria.
GAAUAUUGGACAAUGGGCGAAAGCCUGAUCCAGCCAUGCCGCGUGUGUGAAGAAGGUCUUCGGAUUGUAAAGCACUUUAAGUUGGGAGGAAGGGCAUUAAGUUAAUACCUUGNUGUUUUGACGUUACCNACAGAAUAAGCACCGGCUAACUUCGUGCCAGCAGCCGCGGUAAUACGAAGGGUGCAAGCGUUAAUCGGAAUUACUGGGCGUAAAGCGCGCGUAGGUGGUUCGUUAAGUUGGAUGUGAAAUCCCCGGGCUCAACCUGGGAACUGCAUCCAAAACUGGCGAGCUAGAGUAUGGUAGAGGGUGGUGGAAUUUCCUGUGUAGCGGUGAAAUGCGUAGAUAUCGGAAGGAACACCAGUGGCGAAGGCGACCACCUGGACUGAUACUGACACUGAGGUGCGAAAGCGUGGGGAGCAAACAGGAUUAGAUACCC